RNAcentral lists this ribosomal RNA (292 nucleotides) under uncultured Alphaproteobacteria bacterium. Its description in RNAcentral is "partial 16S ribosomal RNA". The record is from RNAcentral. Lineage: Bacteria; Pseudomonadati; Pseudomonadota; Alphaproteobacteria.
GGACUACCGGGGUUUCUAAUCCUGUUUGAUCCCCACGCUUUCGCGCCUCAGCGUCAAUGUCGGUCCAGUUGGCCGCCUUCGCCACGGGUAUUCUUCCCAAUCUCUACGAAUUUCACCUCUACACUGGGAAUUCUACCAACCUCUACCGAAUUCGAGUGAGACAGUCUUGAAUGCAAUUCCCGGGUUGAGCCCAGGGCUUUCACAUCCAACUUGUCAAACCGCCUACGCGCCCUUUACGCCCAGUAAUUCCGAACAACGCUAGCUCCCUUCGUAUUACCGCGGCUGCUGGCAC